Molecule: ribosomal RNA, 256 nt
Filed under: uncultured bacterium
Lineage: Bacteria
Description: partial 16S ribosomal RNA
Rfam family: Bacterial small subunit ribosomal RNA
Source: RNAcentral
UGGCGAACGGGUGAGUAAUACAUCGGAACGUGUCCGCUCGUGGGGGACAACCAGCCGAAAGGUUGGCUAAUACCGCAUGAGUUCUACGGAAGAAAGAGGGGGACCGCAAGGGCCUCUCGCGAGCGGAGCGGCCGAUGACUGAUUAGCCGGUUGGUGAGGUAACGGCUCACCAAAGCAACGAUCAGUAGCUGGUCUGAGAGGACGACCAGCCACACUGGGACUGAGACACGGCCCAGACUCCUACGGGAGGCAGCAG